CUGUAUUUAACCAUACCAUGUCCUGGUGCACAUCCUUUGCCCAGGCCUGGCCAGAUGUCCUUCAGGAGUAGCACCCCAACACUGGUGUGGGUCCACCAUGGGUAAGCUGAUGCAUAAACUCACCCAGUGACUGCACCAGGAUAACCUAGAAACAGCCAGGGGGAAACUAACAGCUGUGAAACAACUGAAGCCCCCCUUUCAAGGUAGUCUGCCAAUUUCAGGACAAAGAAGGAGGAGGAUGACCCUAAAUAUACAGCAAAUGCAGUUUGUUAUGACCCAGCAGUGGGAUGUUCUCCACUUGCAUUAUCAUUCACCUGACCUCAGUCCAGCUGAGCAGGUGUGUCACUCACCGAAAAUCAGGCCGACGGCAAAAGCCCAGUUUGCAGUUCAUAGAAUCACCAGGGGAGAUAUACAAAUUUCCAGAGAACCAGAUGGAGCUUGUGAGUCAUCAGGAAAGACAGGAUUACAUGUUUCUUACCUUGAAAGCUUUUGCUAGGCCCCCCACCCCCGCAGCCUAAAUGUACGACGCUGUCAGCUGGUGAUUGGAGUCUGGUGACGCAUACGCAUUGAAAUCAUGACUCAUCGAGCUCCAAGUUAAGGGAGAUGCUCCUACCAGUGAUGAGGAAAACAGCCCCUCAUGGAGAUAUAGAGCAGUUCUCUCUGGUUUGAUUCUCUUGGCUGCUGGAGGAAAGGAGUUGGAUUUCUGGCAGACAGGCUUAUUGGCAGAAAGUCAAUUUGUAUCCUUAACCUACUUGUGGAGUUGCAUAACUUUUCCUCCUCCAGAUUAAUUUCACUGACAAUAUCUCUUUGUUUUCAUACAGUUUCCCAACUGUGAAACUAUACUCUAAUGAAUGCUGCUUUAAGUCUGUUAAAUAAAUGUCAAAAUCA
Molecule: long non-coding RNA, 888 nt
Organism: Thunnus maccoyii (southern bluefin tuna)
Lineage: Eukaryota; Metazoa; Chordata; Actinopteri; Scombriformes; Scombridae
Exons: 6
Source: RefSeq, a predicted model, not a curated record